GUGCUCGCUUCGGCAGCACACGUACUAAAACUGGAACGAUACAGAGAUGAGUAUGGCCCCUGUGCAAGGAAGACACGCACAUUUGUGAAGCGUUCCAUAUUUAA
Small nuclear RNA from Saimiri boliviensis boliviensis (Bolivian squirrel monkey), 104 nucleotides. NCBI's taxonomy places the organism in Eukaryota, Metazoa, Chordata, Mammalia, Primates, Cebidae. The record is from Ensembl.